This 768-nucleotide ribosomal RNA is filed under the name uncultured bacterium. RNAcentral's name for it is "bacterial SSU rRNA". It matches the Rfam family "Bacterial small subunit ribosomal RNA", at positions 8 to 796 of the family's 1533-position model. The record is from RNAcentral.
AGAGUUUGAUCCUGGCUCAGGACGAACGCUGGCGGCGUGCUUAACACAUGCAAGUCGAGCGGAAAGGCCCUUCGGGGUACUCGAGCGGCGAACGGGUGAGUAACACGUGAGCAACCUGCCCCUGGCUCUGGGAUAGCCUCCGGAAACGGGGAUUAAUACCGGACAUUCACCUCCUUCCGCAUGGUGGGGGGUGGAAAGUUUUUUCGGCCGGGGAGGGGCUCGCGGCCUAUCAGCUUGUUGGCGGGGUAACGGCCCACCAAGGCGACGACGGGUAGCCGGCCUGAGAGGGCGACCGGCCACACUGGGACUGAGACACGGCCCAGACUCCUACGGGAGGCAGCAGUGGGGAAUAUUGCGCAAUGGGCGGAAGCCUGACGCAGCGACGCCGCGUGGGGGAUGAAGGCCUUCGGGUUGUAAACCCCUUUCACCAGGAGCGAAUCCAGACGGUACCUGGGGAAGAAGCGCCGGCUAACUACGUGCCAGCAGCCGCGGUAAUACGUAGGGCGCGAGCGUUGUCCGGAAUUAUUGGGCGUAAAGAGCUCGUAGGCGGCCUGUCGCGUCCGCUGUGAAAUCCUGGGGCUUAACCCCGGGCCUGCAGUGGAUACGGGCUGGCUAGAGGCAGGCAGGGGAGAACGGAAUUCCCGGUGUAGCGGUGAAAUGCGCAGAUAUCGGGAGGAACACCGGUGGCGAAGGCGGUUCUCUGGGCCUGUUCUGACGCUGAGGAGCGAAAGCGUGGGGAGCGAACAGGAUUAGAUACCCUAGUAGUCC